This 450-nucleotide ribosomal RNA is filed under the name uncultured bacterium. RNAcentral describes it as "partial 16S ribosomal RNA". It matches the Rfam family "Bacterial small subunit ribosomal RNA", at positions 354 to 796 of the family's 1533-position model. The record is from RNAcentral.
GUAGGGAAUCUUCCACAAUGGGCGCAAGCCUGAUGGAGCAACACCGCGUGAGUGAAGAAGGGUUUCGGCUCGUAAAGCUCUGUUGUUAAAGAAGAACACGUAUGAGAGUAACUGUUCAUACGUUGACGGUAUUUAACCAGAAAGUCACGGCUAACUACGUGCCAGCAGCCGCGGUAAUACGUAGGUGGCAAGCGUUAUCCGGAUUUAUUGGGCGUAAAGAGAGUGCAGGCGGUUUUCUAAGUCUGAUGUGAAAGCCUACGGCUUAACCGGAGAAGUGCAUCGGAAACUGGAUAAAUUGAGUGCAGAAGAGGGUAGUGGAACUCCAUGUGUAGCGGUGGAAUGCGUAGAUAUAUGGAAGAACACCAGUGGCGAAGGCGGCUACCUGGUCUGCAACUGACGCUGAGACUCGAAAGCAUGGGUAGCGAACAGGAUUAGAUACCCGAGUAGUCC